This 253-nucleotide ribosomal RNA is filed under the name uncultured bacterium. RNAcentral's name for it is "partial 16S ribosomal RNA". It matches the Rfam family "Bacterial small subunit ribosomal RNA", at positions 524 to 776 of the family's 1533-position model. The record is from RNAcentral.
GACGGAGGGUGCUAGCGUUGUUCGGAAUUACUGGGCGUAAAGGGCGCGUAGGCGGUCUCGUCAGUCGGGUGUGAAAGCCCGGGGCUCAACCCCGGAACGGCACCCGAGACGGCGGGACUCGAGACCGGGAGAGGAGGGUGGAAUAGCCAGUGUAGAGGUGAAAUUCGUAGAUAUUGGCUGGGACACCGGUGGCGAAAGCGGCUCUCUGGCCCGGUUCUGACGCUGAGGCGAGAAAGCGUGGGGAGCAAACAGG